RNAcentral lists this ribosomal RNA (706 nucleotides) under uncultured bacterium. RNAcentral describes it as "partial 16S ribosomal RNA". It matches the Rfam family "Bacterial small subunit ribosomal RNA", at positions 125 to 851 of the family's 1533-position model. The record is from RNAcentral.
CCUGCCCCCUCCCCCGGGAUAGCCGCCCGAAAGGACGGGUAAUACCGGAUACCCCCGGGCGCCGCAUGGCGCCCGGGCUAAAGCCCCGACGGGAGGGGAUGGCUCCGCGGCCCACCAGGUAGACGGCGGGGUGACGGCCCACCGUGCCGACAACGGGUAGCCGGGUUGAGAGACCGACCGGCCAGAUUGGGACUGAGACACGGCCCAGACUCCUACGGGAGGCAGCAGUGGGGAAUCUUGCGCAAUGGGGGGAACCCUGACGCAGCGACGCCGCGUGCGGGACGGAGGCCUUCGGGUCGUAAACCGCUUUCAGCAGGGAAGAGUCAAGACUGUACCUGCAGAAGAAGCCCCGGCUAACUACGUGCCAGCAGCCGCGGUAAUACGUAGGGGGCGAGCGUUAUCCGGAUUCAUUGGGCGUAAAGCGCGCGUAGGCGGCCCGGCAGGCCGGGGGUCGAAGCGGGGGGCUCAACCCCCCGAAGCCCCCGGAACCUCCGCGGCUUGGGUCCGGUAGGGGAGGGUGGAACACCCGGUGUAGCGGUGGAAUGCGCAGAUAUCGGGUGGAACACCGGUGGCGAAGGCGGCCCUCUGGGCCGAGACCGACGCUGAGGCGCGAAAGCUGGGGGAGCGAACAGGAUUAGAUACCCUGGUAGUCCCAGCCGUAAACGAUGGACGCUAGGUGUGGGGGGACGAUCUCCCCGUGCCGCAG